This 468-nucleotide small RNA is filed under the name Pan troglodytes (chimpanzee). RNAcentral describes it as "processed transcript". The record is from RNAcentral. Lineage: Eukaryota; Metazoa; Chordata; Mammalia; Primates; Hominidae.
CCAGUUGGCGGCGCGCACUCCAGGUGGCGGCCGGCUGCGGCGAGGGGACCGCCAGUGGCGAGCAGUCUCGGCGGCGCUGGGGUCUGCGGCGGGAGGGCGUCUGGGCCUGCGCUCACGUGACGGGCGGGGAGGGCCGCGGCCAGAGGGCUAGAGUCCGCGCCUUCCGAGGGAGCCGCGCCCUGCGGGCCCCACCGUACCCGAGGGGAUGGAGGGCUGCCCCCGAGGCCCCCGCGCGGCUCGCGGUCCCACGCCUGCCGGCCCGCGCUAGCUACUCGACUCGUGCGCUAAAUUUAUCCGUCACCCAGGCCUUGUCUCCCGAGUCAUUGGCGUCGUGGUUCGAAAGAAAUGGAAGAAAAGGAGCGAUGUGACCGAUUGUGUUCGGUCCUCCUGCUUUGAGGCCUGGCAUUUGCAGAGGGAAACAGCAAGAAAAUCGUGGGGAUUUUGGAGGGGGGUGGGAGGGAAGGGUGG